This 403-nucleotide ribosomal RNA is filed under the name Bacteroidota bacterium. Its description in RNAcentral is "Bacteroidetes bacterium partial 16S ribosomal RNA". It matches the Rfam family "Bacterial small subunit ribosomal RNA", at positions 355 to 776 of the family's 1533-position model. Lineage: Bacteria; Pseudomonadati; Bacteroidota. The record is from RNAcentral. RNAcentral also lists the same sequence under 1 other name.
UGGGGAAUAUUGCACAAUGGAGGGAACUCUGAUGCAGCGACGCCGCGUGAACGAAGAAGGCUUUCGAGUCGUAAAGUUCUUUUAUAUGGGAAGAUAAUGACGGUACCAUAAGAAAAAGCCCCGGCUAACUACGUGCCAGCAGCCGCGGUAAUACGUAGGUCCCGAGCGUUGUCCGGAUUUAUUGGGCGUAAAGCGAGCGCAGGCGGUUAGAAAAGUCUGAAGUGAAAGGCAGUGGCUCAACCAUUGUAGGCUUUGGAAACUGUUUAACUUGAGUGCAGAAGGGGAGAGUGGAAUUCCAUGUGUAGCGGUGAAAUGCGUAGAUAUAUGGAGGAACACCGGUGGCGAAAGCGGCUCUCUGGUCUGUAACUGACGCUGAGGCUCGAAAGCGUGGGGAGCGAACAGG